UACGUAGGGGGCGAGCGUUGUCCGGAGUUACUGGGCGUAAAGCGCACGCAGGCGGUCUGCUAAGUUUGGAGUGACAGUUGGUGGCUUAACUGCCAAAGUGCUUCGAAAACUGACAGACUUGAGGGCUUCAGAGGGACACGGAAUUCCGGGUGGAGUGGUGAAAUGCGUAGAGAUCCGGAGGAACACCGAUGGCGAAGGCAGCCCCCUGGGCCAAUACUGACGCUCAUGCACGAAAGCGUGGGGAGCAAACAGG
Molecule: ribosomal RNA, 253 nt
Filed under: uncultured bacterium
Lineage: Bacteria
Description: partial 16S ribosomal RNA
Rfam family: Bacterial small subunit ribosomal RNA
Source: RNAcentral